GACGAACGCUGGCGGCGUGCUUAACACAUGCAAGUCGAACGGAAAGGCCCUGCUUUUGUGUGGUUCUCGAGUGGCGAACGGGUGAGUAACACGUGAGUAACCUGCCCUUGUCUGUGGGAUAACUUCAGGAAACUGGGGCUAAUACCGGAUAGGAGCUCCUGCUGCAUGUUGGGGGUUGGAAAGUUUCGGCGGUUGGGGAUGGACUCGCGGCUUAUCAGCUUGUUUGGGGGGUAGUUGCUUACCAAGGCUUUGACGGGUAGCCGGCCUGAGAGGGUGACCGGCCACAAUAGGACUGCGAUACGGCGCAGACUCCUACGGGAGGCAGCGGUGGGGAAUCUUGCACAAUGGGUGGAAGCCUGAUGCAGCAACGCCGCGUGCGGGAUGACGGCCUACGGGUUGUAAACAGAUUUCGCCUGUGACGAAGCGUGAGUGACGGUAAUGGGUAAAGAAGCACCGGCUAACUACGUG
RNAcentral lists this ribosomal RNA (468 nucleotides) under uncultured bacterium. RNAcentral's name for it is "partial 16S ribosomal RNA". It matches the Rfam family "Bacterial small subunit ribosomal RNA", at positions 28 to 507 of the family's 1533-position model. The record is from RNAcentral.